AACGAACGCUGGCGGCGUGCCUAACACAUGCAAGUCGAGCGGGAAAGUUCCCUUCGGGGAGCGAGUACAGCGGCGAACGGGUGAGUAACACGUAGGUAACCUACCCUGGAGAUCGGGAUAACCUGCCGAAAGGCGGGCUAAUACCGGAUAAGACCACGAGGGCUGCGGCCCUUGAGGAAAAGAUGGCCUCUGCUUGCAAGCUAUCACUCUGGGAUGGGCCUGCGCGCCAUUAGCUAGUUGGUGAGGUAACGGCUCACCAAGGCUGAGAUGGCUAGCUGGUCUGAGAGGAUGGCCAGCCACACUGGGACUGAGACACGGCCCAGACUCCUACGGGAGGCAGCAGUGGGGAAUAUUGCGCAAUGGGCGAAGCCUGACGCAGCGACGCCGCGUGGGCGAUGAAGGCC
This 404-nucleotide ribosomal RNA is filed under the name uncultured bacterium. Its description in RNAcentral is "bacterial SSU rRNA". It matches the Rfam family "Bacterial small subunit ribosomal RNA", at positions 29 to 416 of the family's 1533-position model. The record is from RNAcentral.